AUGAAGAUAGGUGACUUGUAUUUCUCAUUCACAAAUCCCUCUUUGUUUAUGCUGCUCACUCUCAGUUUGGUCUUACUGCUGGUUCAUUUUGUUACUAAAAAGGGAGGAGGAAAGUCAGUACCCAAUGCUUGGCAAUCCUUGGUAGAGCUUAUUUAUGAUUUCGUUCCGAACCUGGUAAACGAACAAAUAGGGUAUGAUACCUUAUAG
Molecule: long non-coding RNA, 207 nt
Filed under: Vicia faba (fava bean)
Lineage: Eukaryota; Viridiplantae; Streptophyta; Magnoliopsida; Fabales; Fabaceae
Source: RNAcentral